This 73-nucleotide transfer RNA is filed under the name Poecilia formosa (Amazon molly). It matches the Rfam family "tRNA". From Rfam's summary of the family: Transfer RNA (tRNA) molecules are approximately 80 nucleotides in length. The record is from Rfam by way of RNAcentral. Lineage: Eukaryota; Metazoa; Chordata; Actinopteri; Cyprinodontiformes; Poeciliidae.
GUUCCUGUAGUGUAGUGGUUAUCACGUUUGCUUUACACGCAAAAGGUCUCUGGCUCAAAACCAGACAGAAACA